This is a long non-coding RNA of Aricia agestis (brown argus), 99 nucleotides long. RefSeq lists it as uncharacterized. NCBI's taxonomy places the organism in Eukaryota, Metazoa, Arthropoda, Insecta, Lepidoptera, Lycaenidae. The record is from RefSeq and is a predicted model, not a curated record. The transcript is spliced from 3 exons.
UCGCGACAUCGUAACGUGCCACGAUACACGGCACGACGUCGCGUCGUAGAAACUCACGAUGCGUUCCUGUGUCAGUGCCACAGUUAUUCGAAGAUGACU